RNAcentral lists this ribosomal RNA (469 nucleotides) under uncultured bacterium. RNAcentral describes it as "partial 16S ribosomal RNA". It matches the Rfam family "Bacterial small subunit ribosomal RNA", at positions 28 to 507 of the family's 1533-position model. The record is from RNAcentral.
GACGAACGCUGGCGGCGUGCUUAACACAUGCAAGUCGAACGAUGAAGCCUUAGCUUGCUUUGGUGGAUUAGUGGCGAACGGGUGAGUAACACGUGAGCAACGUGCCCAGGACUCUGGAAUAACCGCGGGAAACCGUGGCUAAUACCGGAUAGGUGCCGAGGCCGCAUGGUCUUCGGUUGGAAAGUUUCUGCGGUUCUGGAUCGGCUCACGGCCUAUCAGCUUGUUGGUGGGGUAAUGGCCUACCAAGGCGACGACGGGUAGCCGGCCUGAGAGGGUGACCGGCCACACUGGGACUGAGACACGGCCCAGACUCCUACGGGAGGCAGCAGUGGGGAAUAUUGCACAAUGGGCGCAAGCCUGAUGCAGCAACGCCGCGUGGGGGAUGACGGCCUUCGGGUUGUAAACCUCUUUUAGUAGGGAAGAAGCGCAAGUGACGGUACCUGCAGAAAAAGCACCGGCUAACUACGUG